UACGAAGGGGGCUAGCGUUGCUCGGAAUCACUGGGCGUAAAGCGCACGUAGGCGGCUUUUUAAGUCAGGGGUGAAAUCCUGGAGCUCAACUCCAGAACUGCCUUUGAUACUGAGAAGCUUGAGUCCGGGAGAGGUGAGUGGAAUUCCUAGUGUAGAGGUGAAAUUCGUAGAUAUUAGGAAGAACACCGGUGGCGAAGGCGGCCCACUGGUCCGAUACUGACGCUGAGGCGCGAAAGCUAGGGGAGCAAACGGG
RNAcentral lists this ribosomal RNA (253 nucleotides) under uncultured bacterium. Its description in RNAcentral is "partial 16S ribosomal RNA". It matches the Rfam family "Bacterial small subunit ribosomal RNA", at positions 524 to 776 of the family's 1533-position model. The record is from RNAcentral.